This 606-nucleotide ribosomal RNA is filed under the name uncultured Gammaproteobacteria bacterium. RNAcentral's name for it is "bacterial SSU rRNA". It matches the Rfam family "Bacterial small subunit ribosomal RNA", at positions 64 to 668 of the family's 1533-position model. The record is from RNAcentral. Lineage: Bacteria; Pseudomonadati; Pseudomonadota; Gammaproteobacteria.
GAGCGCGAAAGGCCUUCGGGCUGAGUAGAGCGGCGGACGGGUGAGUAACGCGUAGGAAUCUACCUGGUAGUGGGGGACAACAUGGUGAAAACCAUGCUAAUACCGCAUACGCCCUAUGGGGGAAAGCGGGGGACCUUCGGGCCUCGCGCUAUCAGAUGAGCCUGCGUAGGAUUAGCUUGUUGGUGAGGUAAAGGCUCACCAAGGCGACGAUCCUUAGCUGGUCUGAGAGGAUGAUCAGCCACACUGGAACUGAGACACGGUCCAGACUCCUACGGGAGGCAGCAGUGGGGAAUAUUGCGCAAUGGGCGAAAGCCUGACGCAGCCAUGCCGCGUGUGUGAAGAAGGCCUUCGGGUUGUAAAGCACUUUCAAUUGGGAAGAAAGGUUGCGUGUUAAUAGCACGCAGCUGUGACGUUACCUUUAGAAGAAGCACCGGCUAACUCCGUGCCAGCAGCCGCGGUAAUACGGAGGGUGCGAGCGUUAAUCGGAAUUACUGGGCGUAAAGCGCGCGUAGGCGGUUUGUUAAGUCGGAUGUGAAAUCCCCGGGCUCAACCUGGGAAUGGCAUUCGAUACUGGCCGACUAGAGUACGAGAGAGGGAGGUAGAAUU